GUGCUGGCUUUGUCACAUGCCCUAAAACUGGAACGAUACAGAGAUUAGCACGGCCCCGCCGCGAGGAUGAUGUGCAGAUUCUUGAACUGCUCCUUAUUUUU
This is a small nuclear RNA of Ictidomys tridecemlineatus (thirteen-lined ground squirrel), 101 nucleotides long. NCBI's taxonomy places the organism in Eukaryota, Metazoa, Chordata, Mammalia, Rodentia, Sciuridae. The record is from Ensembl.